Molecule: ribosomal RNA, 427 nt
Filed under: uncultured bacterium
Lineage: Bacteria
Description: bacterial SSU rRNA
Rfam family: Bacterial small subunit ribosomal RNA
Source: RNAcentral
GGGCCCGCACAAGCGGUGGAGUAUGUGGUUUAAUUCGAUGCAACGCGAAGAACCUUACCAGGGUUUGACAUCCUGCGAAUUUCUGGGAAACCGGAAAGUGCCUUCGGGAGCGCAGUGACAGGUGGUGCAUGGCUGUCGUCAGCUCGUGUCGUGAGAUGUUCCGUUAAGUCGGAUAACGAGCGCAACCCUUACCCUUAUUUGCCAGCGAUUCGGUCGGGAACUAUAAGGGGACUGCCGGUGAUAAACCGGAGGAAGGUGAGGACGACGUCAAGUCAUCAUGGCCCUUACGAGUAGGGCUACACACGUGCUACAAUGCUACGGACAAAGGGCAGCAAGUUCGCGAGGACAAGCAAAUCCCAUAAACCGUGGCUCAGUUCAGAUCGUAGGCUGCAACUCGCCUACGUGAAGGCGGAAUCGCUAGUAAUCG